This 467-nucleotide ribosomal RNA is filed under the name uncultured bacterium. RNAcentral describes it as "partial 16S ribosomal RNA". It matches the Rfam family "Bacterial small subunit ribosomal RNA", at positions 29 to 507 of the family's 1533-position model. The record is from RNAcentral.
ACGAACGCUGGCGGCGUGCUUAACACAUGCCAGUCGAACGGAAAGGCCCUGCUUUUGUGGGGUGCCCGUGUGGCGAACGGGUGAGUAACACGUGAGUAACCUGCCCUUGACUUUGGGAUAACUUCAGGAAACUGGGGCUAAUACCGGAUAGGAGCUCCUGCUGCAUGGUGGGGGUUGGAAAGUUUCGGCGGUUGGGGAUGGACCCGCGGCUUAUUAGCUUGUUGGUGGGGUAGUGGCUUACCAAGGCUUUGACGGGUAGCCGGCCUGAGAGGGUGACCGGCCACAUUGGGACUGAGAUACGGCCCAGACUCCUACGGGAGGCAGCAGUGGGGAAUAUUGCACAAUGGGCGGAAGCCUGAUGCAGCAACGCCGCGUGCGGGAUGACGGCCUUCGGGUUGUAAACCGCUUUCGCCUGUGACGAAGCGUGAGUGACGGUAAUGGGUAAAGAAGCACCGGCUAACUACGUG